Long non-coding RNA from Syngnathus acus (greater pipefish), 857 nucleotides. RefSeq lists it as uncharacterized. The transcript has 2 exons. NCBI's taxonomy places the organism in Eukaryota, Metazoa, Chordata, Actinopteri, Syngnathiformes, Syngnathidae. The record is from RefSeq and is a predicted model, not a curated record.
GUACAGGUUGCACUUGUUGAUUAUGACUCAUUCCUAACAAACAUCUUUGUUGCUUUUUCAAAUCUAGGUUAUAUUUAAGAGUGGAUGGCGCACCUAGUCUAAAAUAUCCAAUAAUACUCUUAGAAGUAACACAAAUGUCAUACCUUCCCUCUGCUGUCCUCUCUCAUCAUCUUCCUCCUUUUCCAGGUAAGGAGCCGGAAACCAGGCAAUGUCCUUGUCUUCAUUCUCCACCAACCACCAACCUGAUGAAAAAGUUGACAGACAAUUAAACAGUCUCAGUAGCAUCUGCAGACCUCUGCUUCGCCUCAAGUCCAUCCCAACAGGAUCCACGAUGCCAGCCGGGGUCACCGGAACUCAUAGAUGGCGGCACUGUGCUCGGGGACGUGGGUGAGGUUUAGAGACUGGUACCUGAAUGAGGUGACACAGCGUACGUUUUGAAAUGUGAGCCGCUACGGCAGCAAAGAAAAAAAAAUGGCGAUGAUUACCAUUCAGAGCUUCGGUGGUAGUAGUAGCCCUCGAUCGUUGCUGUGGAUUUCUGGAAGCAAAUGUAGUAAAAUCCAGCAAAGGAAGCGCCACUAAUGUCUUUGAUUGUGUGAUCCGGAACCAGGAACUGCUCCUAAUGAAAAGCCGAUAUGCCCGACAUUAUUACCAGUACAGCAUCAAGCUUAGGCAAUGAACUGAUACCUUACCUUCCACCUCAUAAAAAUAUAGUCGGAAUUUUUAAGAUCCUCGUAGUCAAAAUCAUCUGAGUUGAACGUCUUUGCAUACUGGUAGAAAGCCUGAAACUUGCCCUGAUGACAAAAAUGAAAUGCUGGUCAUUUUAAAAGAAAGCUGAAAUUAAACAUCUAGUUGUAAAU